UGGCUCAGAGGUUAAGAGCACUGACUGCUUUUCCAGAGGUCCUGGGUUCAAAUCCCAG
RNAcentral lists this transfer RNA (58 nucleotides) under Mus musculus (house mouse). Lineage: Eukaryota; Metazoa; Chordata; Mammalia; Rodentia; Muridae. The record is from Rfam by way of RNAcentral.